AACAUCGCGCACCUGCGGGAACCUGCGGAAGGAUCAUUAUCGAGUUUACAACUCCCAAACCCCUGUGAACAUACCAAUCGUUGCCUCGGCGGGACCGCCCCCGGCGCCCCCGGGCCCGGACCCAGGCGCCCGCCGGAGGACCCCCAAACUCACUUGAUUCCACGGUGUAUCUUCUGAGUGACACAAGCAAAUAAAAUCAAAACUUUCAACAAUGGAUCU
This 219-nucleotide unclassified non-coding RNA is filed under the name soil metagenome. RNAcentral's name for it is "partial contains 5.8S ribosomal RNA, internal transcribed spacer 2, and large subunit ribosomal RNA". The record is from RNAcentral.